Molecule: transfer RNA, 65 nt
Filed under: Histeroidea sp. 2 KM-2017
Lineage: Eukaryota; Metazoa; Arthropoda; Insecta; Coleoptera
Description: tRNA-His
Source: RNAcentral
GCUUAAGUAGUUUAAAAAUAAAAUAGUAAUUUGUGGUGUUACUGAUACAUGAAAUGUCUUGGGCU